This 586-nucleotide small RNA is filed under the name Pan troglodytes (chimpanzee). RNAcentral describes it as "retained intron". The record is from RNAcentral. Lineage: Eukaryota; Metazoa; Chordata; Mammalia; Primates; Hominidae.
CAAGGAGUAACUGCAUGUUUUAACAGCAAGAAAAAAUAAUUUGUACACAAUGUUACUUUUCCUGAUAAAUAGCCACUGGUUGUAAUCAGUUAGGAUUUAUUUUUAUUUUAAAUUCACUAUCAGGUUUGGCAAAUACGUGUAGACCUACAUUUAUUAAAUCAUGAUGGAAAUAUUAUUGAUGCUGCCAGCAUUGCUGCAAUCGUGGCCUUAUGUCAUUUUCGAAGACCUGAUGUCUCUGUCCAAGGAGAUGAAGUAACACUGUAUACACCUGAAGAGCGUGAUCCUGUACCAUUAAGUAUCCACCACAUGCCCAUUUGUGUCAGUUUUGCCUUUUUCCAGCAAGGGUAAGCCUCGCCUUAUUAUGGGCCAAAAUUACAAAUGCAGCUAGGAAUUUUAUUGCUCUACUCAAGUAUGUCAUGUUAAUAUUAAACACUUCUCUUAAUAUUAAAGCACCUUGUAUUUCCUUUCUUUCUUUGUAAGGGCAUUAGUUGGCAAAGAACUUUCUCAGUAGAAGUAACAAAACUCUUAUACUUUGAUGAAGAUACUUCCCAACAUUUUUCUUUUCAUGGGAUACUUAUAAACUUAG